This is an unclassified non-coding RNA of Papio anubis (olive baboon), 148 nucleotides long. It matches the Rfam family "Metazoan signal recognition particle RNA". Rfam says of the family: The signal recognition particle (SRP) is a universally conserved ribonucleoprotein. It is involved in the co-translational targeting of proteins to membranes. NCBI's taxonomy places the organism in Eukaryota, Metazoa, Chordata, Mammalia, Primates, Cercopithecidae. The record is from Ensembl.
GCCAGGCGUGGUGGUGCGUGCCUGUAGUCCCAGCUACUUGGGAGGCUGAGUCAGGAGAAUCGCUUGAACCCAGGAGGCGGAGGUUGCAGUGAGCCAAGACUGCACCACUGCACUCCAGCCUGGGCAACAAAGCGAGACUCUGACUCAA